GAGGCAGCGGCGGGCGUCUGAGUGGAUGGACGCGACGCGCACGCACACGCACGUCACGGCCUGGCGCGGCCGUCAAGAGCGCGCGCGUCAGCCUCCGCCGGCUCACUCGCCCCUCACUCGCCAUCAGUACGCACGCACGCACGGCCGGCCGGGAGCCUCCUCGCGCGCUUGGAUGAUUGCGGUUCCGCUCCCAGACACGGCGCGUCCACGCACGCACGCACGCACGCUCAAAGGCCUGACGAUUCGCGCACGCGCUUUGUAGGACGGCGAGCGCUCGGUCCAGGCUAAUGGACGAGGAAGGACGGGUGGAGCCUUCGGGGUUCAUUGUUAUCUUUGGUUAUCUAGCUGUAUGAGUGAUGUACAUUCUUCAUAAAGCUAGAUAACCGAAAGUAACAAGAAUCCCAUUACACUCCUGGAAAGGCACCAAGACACCCGAAAGGACGACGCCACGCAAAUACAAAACGGACGGGCAAAAGAAAAUCCAAAGGAAUCGGGAGGAAGCAACGGAAAGGCUAACGUCAGCCAAGCUGAAAACGACGAAGAAGGAGGAGGAGGAAUCUCCUCAUCGUCCACCUCCACUCCCCCUUCCUCCUCCUCCUCUUCUCCUUCCUCCCGCCGUCCUCCUUCCUUCCAUCCCGGCCACGCCGGCCCUUCUUCUUCCAGCUCGCCACCAUCUUGACGACCCGCCGCCGAGCGCAGGUUGGCGGUCACCUGAGCGGGGAAGAUUCCGGUCACCCGGAUGCUGCUCGGCCAAUCAGAGCGAAGCAAGAAGUUGAUGCUAAUUAUAAUAACGCUAAAUAAAUUCAUAGCGUUCAUACGAACGAAUGAAUCGAAUCAUUAAUGACUGGUGAAUGUGAGACCCACGCCAGCAGUGAAUUCUACUGCACUGUGAUUGGAUAGCUCGUGUGUCAGCCGUCGCACCGGCCAAUGAGAGCUGUCGUCUUUAAACUCUAUGCAAACACUUGAUUUACUUCUGUCAUCGCUAAUUUCCUUUCGGCCUGUGAAACAAACACGCCUUCAUUUCCGGACACACUCACAGACACGCACAUAUAUUAAGCACUAGCACAGCCUAAUUGGCUCUAUAUUAAUUUUUCGGGAAGUGGCAAUCCCCCCCCCCCCCCUUCUAUUAUUAGAAUUGAUCAUCUAUGCAAAUCUUUUGAAAUGUGACUUUAAAUGGUCCCAAUUCAAGGGGGCGGUAUUUGGAAUAAUCCCCCAAUCACGGUGGUUGUUUUUUAUUUUUAUAAUUCUUUUCUAUAUUUUCUGUAAGUUUGCAUGAUGCAACAACAGCUGUGUGUGUUCACCAAUGUGCCUUGUAUGAAAACUGUGUUGCAAUAGUAUUAAAUGUUUACAAUGAAAACAAUGCAAA
Molecule: long non-coding RNA, 1366 nt
Organism: Syngnathus typhle (broad-nosed pipefish)
Lineage: Eukaryota; Metazoa; Chordata; Actinopteri; Syngnathiformes; Syngnathidae
Exons: 5
Source: RefSeq, a predicted model, not a curated record